RNAcentral lists this transfer RNA (71 nucleotides) under Camelus bactrianus (Bactrian camel). It matches the Rfam family "tRNA". From Rfam's summary of the family: Transfer RNA (tRNA) molecules are approximately 80 nucleotides in length. Their secondary structure includes four short double-helical elements and three loops (D, anti-codon, and T loops). The record is from Rfam by way of RNAcentral. Lineage: Eukaryota; Metazoa; Chordata; Mammalia; Artiodactyla; Camelidae. RNAcentral also lists the same sequence under 3 other names.
GGUAAAUAGCUCAGUGGUAGAGUGCAUGCUUAGCAGGCAUGAGGUCCUGGGUUCAAUCCCCAGCAUCACCA